RNAcentral lists this ribosomal RNA (496 nucleotides) under uncultured bacterium. RNAcentral's name for it is "partial 16S ribosomal RNA". It matches the Rfam family "Bacterial small subunit ribosomal RNA", at positions 28 to 506 of the family's 1533-position model. The record is from RNAcentral.
GAUGAACGCUGGCGGCGUGCCUAAUACAUGCCAGUCGAGCGAACGGACGAGAAGCUUGCUUCUCUGAUGUUAGCGGCGGACGGGUGAGUAACACGUGGAUAACCUACCUAUAAGACUGGGAUAACUUCGGGAAACCGGAGCUAAUACCGGAUGAUAUUUUGAACCGCAUGGUUCAAAAGUGAAAGACGGUCUUGCUGUCACUUAUAGAUGGAUCCGCGCUGCAUUAGCUAGUUGGUAAGGUAACGGCUUACCAAGGCAACGAUGCAUAGCCGACCUGAGAGGGUGAUCGUCCACACUGGAACUGAGACACGGUUCAGACUCCUACGGGAGGCAGCAGUAGGGAAUCUUCCGCAAUGGGCGAAAGCCUGACGGAGCAACGCCGCGUGAGUGAUGAAGGUCUUCGGAUCGUAAAACUCUGUUAUUAGGGAAGAACAUAUGUGUAAGUAACUGUGCACAUCUUGACGGUACCUAAUCAGAAAGCCACGGCUAACUACGU